Molecule: ribosomal RNA, 364 nt
Filed under: uncultured bacterium
Lineage: Bacteria
Description: bacterial SSU rRNA
Rfam family: Bacterial small subunit ribosomal RNA
Source: RNAcentral
ACGAACGCUGGCGGCAGGCCUAACACAUGCAAGUCAAACGGGUGUAGCAAUACAUCAGUGGCGCACGGGUGCAUAACGCGUGGGAAUAUCUCCUUGACUACGGAAUAACGUCGGGAAACUGACGCUAAUACCGUAUAACGACUCCGGUCCAAAGAUUUAUCGGUUAAGGAUUAGCCCGCGUCUGAUUAGCUAGUUGGUGAGGUAACGGCUCACCAAGGCGACGAUCAGUAGCUGGUCUGAGAGGAUGAUCAGCCACACUGGAACUGAGACACGGUCCAGACUCCUACGGGAGGCAGCAGUGAGGAAUAUUGGACAAUGGGCGCAAGCCUGAUCCAGCCAUGCCGCGUGAGUGACGAAGGCCUUC